UGAGAAGAAAUAUAUAUGUUUUAAUGAAAUAUAUUUUGGAUACAAAUAAUGGAAAAUGUUUUAGUCACGAAAAGAAUAUCCCUCUAUACGGGAGGGUAAAAUAAUGUCCCUCUAUACGGGAGGGUAAAAUAAUGUCCCUCUAUACGGGAGGGUAAAAUAAUAUCCCUCUAUACGGGAGGGUAAAAUAAUAUCCCUCUAUAAGGGAGGGUAAAAUAAUAUCCCUCUAUACGGGAGGGUAAAAUAAUGUCCCUCUGUACGGGAGGGUAAAAUAAUGUCCCUCUAUACGGGAGGGUAAAAUAAUGUCCCUCUGUACGGGAGGGUAAAAUAAUAUCCCUCUAUACGGGAGGGUAAAAUAAUGUCCCUCUGUACGGGAGGGUAAAAUAAUGUCCCUCUGUACGGGAGGGUAAAAUAAUAUCCCUCUAUACGGGAGGGUAAAAUAAUGUCCCUCUAUACGGGAGGGUAAAAUAAUGUCCCUCUAUACGGGAGGGUAAAAUAAUGUCCCUCUAUAUGGGAGGGUAAAAUAAUAUCCCUCUAUACGGGAGGGUAAAAUAAUGUCCCUCUAUACGGGAGGGUAAAAUAAUGUCCCUCUAUACAGGAGGGUAAAAUAAUAUCCCUCUAUACGGGAGGGUAAAAUAAUGUCCCUCUAUACGGGAGGGUAAAAUAAUGUCCCUCUAUACAGGAGGGUAA
Oncorhynchus tshawytscha (Chinook salmon) is the source of this 687-nucleotide long non-coding RNA. NCBI's taxonomy places the organism in Eukaryota, Metazoa, Chordata, Actinopteri, Salmoniformes, Salmonidae. The record is from Ensembl.